Molecule: long non-coding RNA, 590 nt
Filed under: Zonotrichia albicollis (white-throated sparrow)
Lineage: Eukaryota; Metazoa; Chordata; Aves; Passeriformes; Passerellidae
Description: lncRNA (ENSZALG00000009370.1)
Source: RNAcentral
UGGGAACUUGGGAAUACAGACACAAGGAGGAUGUGGGACAUGGGAACAUGGAGGGGACAGGAACAUGGGGACACAGGGAUAAAGGGACAUGAGGACACUGGGACAUGGGGACACUGGGACACAGGGAUGUGGGAACACGGUGCAGGAACAUAGGGACACAGGGACAUGGGAAGUACAGGACACAGGGAUUUGGGGACACAGGGAUGUGGGACAUGAGGACAUGGGAGGUACAGGGACAAUGGGGUAUGGGGACAUGGGGACCAAGGGAUGGCCCCAGGAAAUGGGAUUGUGUCCUUCCAACUGCCUCCAGCUCCUGGAGGAUGAGGGAAGGGAAGGAGAAAUGGUGGGGAGAUACUGGGAGAACAGUAGGAAAUAUUUAGGGAAUAUUUGAGGAAUAUUUGGGGAAUAUUUUAGGAAUAUUUGGGGAAUAAGUGGAAAUAUUUGGGGAAUAUUUAAGGAAUAUUUGGGGAAUAUUUGGGGAAUAAUAUAACAAUGGCUUGGGCAGUAUCUGGAAGUAACGGAAUAUUUGAGGAAUAAUAGAAAAAUAGCUUGGGGAAUGUUUGGAAAAUAAAGCAGAUAUUUGGGGAACA